CGGCCAGACUCCUACGGGAGGCAGCAGUGGGGAAUAUUGCACAAUGGGGGAAACCCUGAUGCAGCGACGCCGCGUGAGUGAAGAAGUAUUUCGGUAUGUAAAGCUCUAUCAGCAGGGAAGAAAAUGACGGUACCUGACUAAGAAGCCCCGGCUAACUACGUGCCAGCAGCCGCGAUAAUACGUAGGGGGCAAGCGUUAUCCGGAUUUACUGGGUGUAAAGGGAGCGUAGACGGCAUGGCAAGUCUGAUGUGAAAACCCGGGGCUCAACCCCGGGACUGCUUUGGAAACUGCCCGGCUAGAGUGCUGGAGAGGUAAGUGGAAUUCCUAGUGUAGCGGUGAAAUGCGUAGAUAUUAGGAGGAACACCAGUGGCGAAGGCGGCUUACUGGACAGUAACUGACGUUGAGGCUCGAAAGCGUGGGGAGCAAACAGGAUUAGAUACCCGAGUAC
Molecule: ribosomal RNA, 448 nt
Filed under: uncultured bacterium
Lineage: Bacteria
Description: bacterial SSU rRNA
Rfam family: Bacterial small subunit ribosomal RNA
Source: RNAcentral